Molecule: non-coding RNA, 58 nt
Organism: Aedes albopictus (Asian tiger mosquito)
Lineage: Eukaryota; Metazoa; Arthropoda; Insecta; Diptera; Culicidae
Source: Rfam
UAGCCUAGUGGAUAAGGCAAUGGACCGCCAAUCCGGAGACGGCGGGUUCAAUUCCCGU